AUUAUCGGGUCUAUUACUUCUAACGAUCACAUUAUAUUUUUAAUCGGUUGAUUUCAAAUCUUGUACUUCAAUUUUUUUAACAUGCAUUCUAUUAUAUAAAGGACCAGCUUACCCAGUGCUUGUCAUUAUUUUUCUCGUCGUUAUCGAUAACAGAUGAAUAGCCGUACUGG
Molecule: long non-coding RNA, 170 nt
Organism: Bradysia coprophila
Lineage: Eukaryota; Metazoa; Arthropoda; Insecta; Diptera; Sciaridae
Source: RefSeq, a predicted model, not a curated record